CACAGCCAUCCUGGGGUCACACAGUGCAUCACUCACGUGGGUGCAGUAAUGCUGGUGUGAACAAACCUGCUGCGUGGCUGGCAUGACCAAAGGCCGCUGUAGGCGGUGAUCAUCCCCAAUCACGGCCCUCGACCGGAGCGCACUUCCCCGCAUCUGGAGCCAUCUGCAUCUGUCUCCUUUGCAGUCUGCCGGUAAUUGGGUCUGAAAUCACACGCGUCCCACUCAGCUACAUUUACAUUUCCUUCUUGCGCUGUUUUUAUAUCCAGAGCUGUUGAAACCACUCCUAGGAUGAAUUUCUAAACUUAGACCAUCUCAUCCUCAAACGGCAAGAAAGAAAGUGUGAUGUGUCUGUGAAUCUGCUGAAUGGGCCGAGGGGUGUUUUUAAAAGAUCAUAUUGCGGGGAAGAAGCAGGCACUGCAGAAACCUAUGGAUUGGGGUGCUAAAACCUACGAGCUUCCCGGGAAGCUGCCUUUUGGGAGCCCGAACUAUCCCAGAACCUUUUCCUAGUAGCAGAUCACAAUCACCGUCUCUUCUGUGAGCCCGCUUCAAGCCAGCAAUGAAAGGACACUUCUGCACGCCAGCAGCAGGAGUAGGAAACCCCACUCUCCCUACAACAUAAGGGCUACACAUUUGAGAUCCUCUCAGAGGACUUUUUAAAAAAAUAACAUCUUUCAUUUAUGCUUGAGCAGGGAGAAGAGUCAUUAAAAAGAAGAGAUUUUUAAAA
Long non-coding RNA from Pan troglodytes (chimpanzee), 724 nucleotides. RefSeq lists it as uncharacterized. The record is from RefSeq and is a predicted model, not a curated record. NCBI's taxonomy places the organism in Eukaryota, Metazoa, Chordata, Mammalia, Primates, Hominidae. The transcript has 2 exons.